RNAcentral lists this unclassified non-coding RNA (432 nucleotides) under soil metagenome. RNAcentral describes it as "partial contains 5.8S ribosomal RNA, internal transcribed spacer 2, and large subunit ribosomal RNA". The stretch from base 1 to 120 matches the Rfam family "5.8S ribosomal RNA", at positions 35 to 154 of the family's 154-position model. The record is from RNAcentral.
GAUGAAGAACGCAGCGAAAUGCGAUACGUAAUGUGAAUUGCAGAAUUCAGUGAAUCAUCGAAUCUUUGAACGCAUAUUGCGCUCUCUGGUAUUCCGGAGAGCAUGCUUGUUUGAGUAUCAGUAAACACCUCAACUUCCAUAUCUUUUUUGAAAUGGGAGUUGGACUUGAGUGAUCCCAACGCUUUUCCUCACCGAAAAGUGGCGGGUUACUUGAAAUGCAGGUGCAGCUGGACUUUUCUCUUAGCUAUAAGCAUAUCUAUUUAGUCUGCCUAAAAAACAGAUUAUUACCUUUGCUGCAGCUAACAUAAAGGAGAUUAGUUCUUGUGCUGACUGAUGCAGGAUUCACAAAGACGGCUUCGGCCGACUUUGUAAACUCGAUCUCAAAUCAAGUAAGACUACCCGCUGAACUUAAGCAUAUCAAUAAGCGGAGGA